UUAAUACUCUGAAAAUUCAUCCAAUAUUCUAAAAAUUAUUUUAUAUCAGCUCUGAACUUCACCAUGAUGAUUAUAUCCGAUCAAAUAGAGAAUACGACAAUUUCGAACCUUACAGAUUUUGGCUGGAAGUUUGGUCAGAAGUACCAGCAUAUUAACAGCACCAACUGGGUAAACAUCCGGAAUGCAGCUCUGAUUACCGAAGGUUUGAAACUAGUGUUCUUUGUCUCAAUUGUCGUAUUUUUGUUACUGAUGUGCUGCAACGAAUGGAAUCCAUACACUUGUCUUAAAAAUUGUGUGUAUGGUAGAAGUUCCACCAGCAGAAUAUGGUUCGGUAGAGGAAAUCAGCAAGAGCUCGAAGAUCCAGUGAAUGUUGAAGAGGGAAAUCGGACACUUUUGCAUGCUGCUGGAGAUCAUGCUUAAGAUAAACUUCUGAGACCUA
Long non-coding RNA from Parasteatoda tepidariorum (common house spider), 439 nucleotides. Lineage: Eukaryota; Metazoa; Arthropoda; Arachnida; Araneae; Theridiidae. The record is from RefSeq and is a predicted model, not a curated record.